Molecule: long non-coding RNA, 12704 nt
Organism: Pseudophryne corroboree (corroboree frog)
Lineage: Eukaryota; Metazoa; Chordata; Amphibia; Anura; Myobatrachidae
Exons: 3
Source: RefSeq, a predicted model, not a curated record
GGUUACCUCUUCUGUCUUUGUACAUAUUACUUUUUAUAUGAUCAGUUUCCUUAUAAUAAUUACAGUAUAAAAGUGAAUAUUUCUAUUUCCCUAGUGAAGGGUUAAAACAUGCUUUAUGAACUCUUAUGUGUUUGCAAUGGAUGCUGCUGCCCUGUGUUAGAUGCCUUUGUCUCUCAUACAGAUACCAGGCUUGUGUGGGUCUGGCAUCCAAGGUCAGCUCUCUACUAGAUGAAACCUGCUUUUUCUACUUCUGUGUGUUACUAAAAGAUCCUUUGUUAAGUUUCGCCUGAUGCAACAUAUAUAACAUCUGCCUGGCAACUGCUAUAUCCAAUUAUGUUAUGUCAAGUAUUAACCACCCCUACGUACCCCACCCAGGCACCUACCCCUAAGCCAAUGAGCCCUUUUACACUUGUCAGUUCCACCCAUAUGCAUUGUCUUAUAUACUCUUGUUAACUUUAUAAUAAACAGUGUGAAUUUUAACUGCUUGUGUGUGCAUGUACCUUGUGGUUAAAAGUUUACACUCCAGACGUCUGUAAGGCCAUCACAUCGAGGGUUAAAGAAAAUAAGGUCAAAUCCUUUCAGCUGGGGGUUAUGUCCGGGAUUCAGUGAUCGUCCCCGAAUAAUAAAGAUAGAAGAUUUAUUGUCUGUCUUUGCUAUGCGGGAUUGCGGUCAUACACUGAAGCUGAAUCCGUGUCAGUGUUCCGGGAACACGUGACAAGGUAAUAUUUAAGUCCGGGACUUAAUAUUACGAAGUUUUUAAAACAGGUAUCAGGGAUACCAUAGAAUCUUUAAUGUCUGGGACUUAAAGAUACGUCUGAGAAGGGACCAGGGGUCCGAGCGCACUUCUCCAAAGACGUUAGUAUCUGGGAUACUUAAAAUAGACCUGGGAGUCUAUACGUAACGUAGAGAAUACCCCGAUUUGAUCGCCUAUAUAUUUCUGUAUGUUUGUAGUGAGAUAAGUUCUUAUAUUUGGUCCAGACGGCUGGUAAGUUUUCGUCUGCCAGAUAUCUUUACUCAAACACUUUUCUUGCUUCCUGUCUAAAACGCUGUAUUUUUUCUGACAUCUUGUACGAAGGUAAGCGUACCCGUCAAAAGAUUUCAUGUUCUCAUUAUACAGAUAAUAUUGUGAUAUUGUCAAUGACUAAUUAACUGGUGUUAGCUAAUGCAUGCAUAGAAAGUUUUUGUAAAUUGCAUUUUUUUUGUUGUGAAAUUUCAUAGAAAGUCUUUUUGUUGUGAAAUUGCAUAGAAGGUUUUUUUUGUAAACUGCAUUUUUGUUGUGAUAUUGCAUAGACAGUUGUUGUGGGUUGUUGUGGAAAUUGCGUAGAAAGCUGGUGUAGAUUGCAUUUUUACUAUGGGAGGGACCUAUGUAUAAGUAGAGUGUCGUAUAUUUUAGAUAAUUUUCUUUUAAAAAGUUGUACUGUUGAUUUAUAUUACUGUCUGACAAUGGGCUCUAGUCAGAGUAAAAAAAACUGCAUAUCCCCCGCCCCUCCCUGGUGAGACAUGCAGGAUGUAUGUUGCCCGUAACUCUACCUCAGAGUAUUAUUUAGUUAACCCAUGGGUGGAUAAUUUAGCGGGAUGGACAGAGAAAGCAGGACGGGACCCAUUCCUACGGGAAGGCAGUAAUUACCUUUUCUAUAUGGAGAUUUAAGAAAAAAUGUCAGUUUCCAAUAGCACAGAAGCGAAGCUGCAGAGGAAUUGUAAGUCUUUGAAAUCCCUCUCGCCCCCCCCCCCCCCCCUUUUUUGCAUUCCAAUGUAUCCUGCGCUCAGAGACACAAAUCUCUUGGCAGCAGUAACCCUUUCACACUAAAUGGGAUCGCUUCCAACUUCACUGCUGGAGGGUGCGUCCACUAGCUCUAUCCCUAACGCACCAAUAACCCAGAGUUUAGAUAAUAGUAAAACACUGUCCCAAGCCCACCAUUACCCUCGAUGGCUGUAUAUCUUAUUUACGCAAAACUUGCAAAGGACGCAGCUAUACACAUAUGAAGGAAGUUUUUUUUGCCUGUGUUUUUUUUGCCUGUCGCUGUAGCUUGUAAAAAGAAACCUGCGCCCACUCAUAACUAUCAGAGCUCCAGACGCUUUGACAGACAGAACCAACCCCGCAGUCAGGGAACAUUCCAAAGACCCCGCGCACUGACGGGGCCCGGAGGAGGGUAUCCCAGCCUUUAUUCAACUCUCCCGUCAUAGUGAGAUUCACCUCUGCUGCCACUUAUUAUAAAUGGAAGUAAAAUUCCCUUUUUAGUGGACAGCGGUGCAGCAGCCAGUGUUUUGUGUUCUGACUUAUGCAAUACCCCCUCUCACCAGAAAAGAUAGAAGGUCUCCGCCCCAUGAUACAGCAAUUCUUACAACAGGGUAUCUCAGACAUAUUGUAUCACCAUACUGUACUCCUGUGAACCCUGUUGCCAAAGCUGAUGGUAGUAUGGGAUUUGUACAGGAUCUCAGAGCGAUCAAUCAGUUAAUUGUCCCAAUUGCACCAAUUGUUCCAGAUGUAAACUCACUCAUUUCUGCAAUCCCUGCAGAUGCUGUGUUCUUCUCUGAAAUUGAUUUGAAGAAUGCCUUUUUUUUCAGCAUACCUGUAGAUUCACAGACACAAUUACUUUUUGCCUUUUCUUUUGAGGGUAAACAACUUACCUGGUGCAGAUUAUUGACGCACCUGUUGUCUCCAGGCCACAUUGAGGCCCUGGCAACCUCACCAUGGUUCAGUCCUGCUACAGUAUGCAGAUGAUCUGCUGCUCUGUAGUAAAACUGAGGAGGCCUGCCGAGAGGAUGGUGUUUCAUUACUAAACUGGCUUUGUGAAUGUGGACACAAGGUGUCCAAAAUAAAAAUGCAAUGGUGUAAAAAGCAUGUUGAUUACUUAGGUUUUGUGCUCACUCAGGGAGAGAGAAAAGUCAGUCCACAAUGCAUACAGUCUGUAUUGGGCCUGGUCACCCCAACUACCCAGAAGGAACUACUGUCCUUCCUGGGUAUGGUAAAUUACUGCAGACAGUGGAUAUCUGAUUGCUCUUAUUGUGAUAACAUUUUGAGACAAGCCACACUGAAGGACAAACCUAAAACUGUACAAUGGUCACAAGAAAUGUUAACUGCAUAUGAAAGUUUAAAAUGUAUGUUGAUGAAAAGUCCGGCACUUGGCCUCCCCAGUUAUGUACUACCUUUCCAUCUAUAUGCAAGGGACAAUUGUAAAACCAUGGCGGGGGUGCUCACACAGUUUCAUGGAGGGAAGUUGCGCCCCGUGGCAUUUUUUUUCCAAAGUCAUGCCAGUGUCUGUGCAAGGUAUGCCUGCCUGCCUCAGGGCUUUGGCAGCCUGUGCAAUGGUUGCAGAAAUGGCCACUACCCUCACUUUAGGCCACAUCACAGUACUCCACACCACACAUGAUGUCCUGGCAAUACUUAAAGGCUUACACACAGCACAUGUCAGCACAACGCCUUAGUGGAUAUGAAGUACUCCUUUUGAGUAACCCUACCCUUACCAUUAAGUACACUGCUGGUUCUUCUGGCCCUGCACCCAUUCUCAAUGCCCUUUUAGGCUUGAAAGGUCCCGAGGAUGAACCACCCGACCUACAUGACUGUGCUGCUUCCAUUGAAGCUGAAACUUCUCCCAGACUUGACAUGUCUCCCGUUCCCAUACCAGGCACAGACAUUGUUUUUGUUGACGACUCCUGUAGUAGGCCCAAUGACAAUACAUACCAGGCUAGCUAUGCCAUUGUCACCCUCCCUGAUACUGUGUUGGAAACCCUACCAAUACCUUAUCAGUCCGCGCAAGCUGCAGAACUCAUUGCACUCACUAGAGCAUGUCCCUCCCUUGACAACGUCCAUCUGCUCACUCAACUUCAAGCUGCUGCGACUAAUACUGAUCUCUCCGACUGGACUUACCCAAUUCUGCAGAAAAAAUCCUAAAUCAGGAUUAAUCUGCAAAGAGGGGAAACCCUGUAUACCCCAGUCCAGUGCCCCUUUGCUCGUUGCCCAGUGCCGUGGUGUUGGUCACCGUGGUGAAGCCACAACACUCCUCCUACUAACCAGUGAUUUUUAUGUUACUAAUGCCAAAUCACUUGUGGACCAGUAUGUUAGCAGAUGCAUCACUUGCCUCAGGAACAACCCUAAUAAAGCUAAACACCAGCAUCUUGAAUACCCCACAGAAAACUCUAGGUUACUCCCCAUUUAAAAUACUAAUGGGCAGGCCUUUUCCUACACCCUGGGCUAGGAAACCACUAGUAAUACAGGAAGGAGAUCUAGAACUCAUCAGAGAAGAGUAUGUCAGGUCCCUGAUAACAAAACUGAAUGAAAUUGAACAUGAGGUUGUUUGUAAAAACCCUUUUGAAUCCACAGGAACCUACACACCCCUUUAAAGUCGGAGACAGAGUCGUGGUGAAGGUGCUCCCCAGGAACAAGAGCCCAGGAGACUUCACCUAUGGUCCAGAGACAGAGGUCGUAGCAGUUACCCGAACAGCAGUCCUGACAGAGGAAAGUCCUACCUGGAUCCAUGCAUCCCGAGUAAAAAAGGUUCCUAGACCAGACCUAGAGAGGGAAGCAAGUGAUUCCAGUGAGGUACGAACCGGGGCAGACAGCCCUGACCUCCCACCUAGCGAAGAAAGAAGAACAGAAGAAGAUGAGGAACCUGUCCCCUAUCUUUAUCCUGGGGACUACCUUGAUAGCCCUACUGGCCCUCACUCACCACACAAUAUGUGAGGUUGAUAUUACACAGACUAAUGGGAUCCCCACCUUGUGGUACAAUUCCUCCAAUACACACGUAGCCACAUAUAUCCUUGACUAUUUUAUGUUCCCCAAAAUUGCUGAUGACAAAUAUUAUAUACAACAAAGGAGGAAAUCAGGAAUGUCUGAGACAGUAUAUAUUUGUGUUACUGACGAAUGGUACUAUGACAAUAGAUAUUAUGGAUCUAAUUGUAAUUCCUGGGAAGCUGUGGGGUGGAAUACAGGAGUAGAUUGGAAAUAUGGCCCAUCGUUUGCAAAGAAUAGAUGGAGCAAAUAUGGAGUACCCCUACUUUCUAGACUAUCCAUUCAUAAGAUGGAUGAAGGCCCAAAUUCAUACAGGUUUAGACUAAACAUAGUGAACCCUAGCAGAAGCGACAAUGAGACUUAUGUACUUGGUAUAUGGUGGCAAGCAGGGUAUUAUAGUGCAAGGCAAAUGUUUUAUUUAUGGGAUAUGUAUAAAAACCCAAAAUACCAGCCUAAAAUUGCUCCCCAAAACAAACCUUUAAAGCCCCAUAUUGCCACUUUUAAAGAUAUGGUGGCUAUUACUAACCCUACCUUUGAAGACACCCUAGCUAUUGAAACUGGUUUCUCUGACAUUAAUUUUUGGUUGGAAUGGAUGAAGUAUAGUGCUAACAAACACAAUAAAAGCAACUGUUAUGUCUGUGGCAAAUCUAGGCCCCACCUAGGUACAGUGCCCCUUAAUAUACCCCUAGAACAAGAAAAUUGUUUUUUUUCAGCCUUUUUAAUGACACCAAAACAAAUGACAGUCAGUGCGAAAUGUGGAAAAGGGAAUAUCCCAUAUUGUCAAAAAAUCCCAACCCAGGAAGCACCAUAACCAUAUAUCCUGGAAACUAUACCUGUUAUACAUCUAACAUCACCCCAGGGAGAAAUUUAAAAACCUUCCCACCAGGGUAUUGUGCAAAUAAAAGAACAACUGUUUUAGUCAACCAAACUAGAUCAUUAGGCGACAUUUAUUACAUAUGUGGGAAACUGUAAAUAAAAACGUAGCCUGGAUUAAUUAUAUAUAUUAUAAUCAACAAAGAUUUGUUAAUGAUACCAAAGAUGCUCUUAAAGGUAUAGCUGAACAGCUAGAAGCCACUUCCCAAAUGACAUCCCAAAAUAGAAUGGCCCUUGACAUGAUCCUAGCAGAAAAAGGCGGUACAUGUGUUUACAUUAGUAAGGUGGAAGGCUGUUGUACAUAUAUUCCUGACAACACUGGUCCCAAUGGUAAGGUUACUUUAGCCAUAAACAAGUUAGAAACCUUAUCCAUAGAACUUAAGAAAAAUUCAGGUAUUGAUAACCCAUGGAGCCAAUAUUUUGGGUGGUUUGAAAAUUGGAAACAGGCUCUUGUGCAAAUAAGCAUAUUUAAACUCAUAACUUUAAUUCUUUUAGGCAUUAUAGUUUAUUGUGUAAUUCCCUGUGGAAAGAAACUUACCUCCAAAGGCAUUGAUAAGGCCCUGAUGUAUUAUGACAUAACCACCAGUCCUGUCACCUCCUCUGAUAGUAAGGGACCCGACGAUUAUGUCCAAUAUCUCAAGAACUGGAGGAACAAGAAAGGAGCCUCACUCAAGAAUCAUGUCAUAUAAUAAUCAUGAUUCUAAGAGGGGAUUGAAGGGUUACCUCUUCUGUCUUUGUACAUAUUACUUUUUAUAUGAUCAGUUUCCUUAUAAUAAUUACAGUAUAAAAGUGAAUAUUUCUAUUUCCCUAGUGAAGGGUUAAAACAUGCUUUAUGAACUCUUAUGUGUUUGCAAUGGAUGCUGCUGCCCUGUGUUAGAUGCCUUUGUCUCUCAUACAGAUACCAGGCUUGUGUGGGUCUGGCAUCCAAGGUCAGCUCUCUACUAGAUGAAACCUGCUUUUUCUACUUCUGUGUGUUACUAAAAGAUCCUUUGUUAAGUUUCGCCUGAUGCAACAUAUAUAACAUCUGCCUGGCAACUGCUAUAUCCAAUUAUGUUAUGUCAAGUAUUAACCACCCCUACGUACCCCACCCAGGCACCUACCCCUAAGCCAAUGAGCCCUUUUACACUUGUCAGUUCCACCCAUAUGCAUUGUCUUAUAUACUCUUGUUAACUUUAUAAUAAACAGUGUGAAUUUUAACUGCUUGUGUGUGCAUGUACCUUGUGGUUAAAAGUUUACACUCCAGACGUCUGUAAGGCCAUCACAUCGAGGGUUAAAGAAAAUAAGGUCAAAUCCUUUCAGGCACUAAGUGGCAUAUCCUUGGGGCCCCUCUAAUCCAUGUGGCCCGGUACAGGUGUCCCCUUUGACUCCCCUGUUGCCAGGCUCGAAUGCGCCCAAGAAAGCUUUCUCAUCUGAUACCAUAUGUUGGCGGAAUAUAUGACUCAUAGAAGUUACUACCUAAAAUGUACUGCAAUCUGCACCCAUGGCCCCCAAGCCGCCUAUCCCAUAGGCCAGGAAAUCUCUAUUCUAAGACGGAGAAACCUGACCUCUUCCCAGCUUACACAAACCAAGGCUGUCACCUCCCCGCCCACCAGGAGGCGGCAGACUUCAAUCACUGACAGUCUGCUGCCGCUCUAGGUCCUAUGUCUCAGGACCCGUCCUACACCCAUCAUCAUAAAGAACCGAUUUUCUGUACAUUGUGCAUGCGCAGAACCGACCGAACCUGAAUUAGUCUCAUUGUGCUCUCUAGGGCCAAUAUUUACUAAUAUUCGUGUUUGAGUCGGUUUGUGUAGUGUUUAAACUCGUUUUGUAUCGGGUGCAUUUUCAUGCAACUUUUUGAAUCCAUAUACGCAAAGUUACGAAGCACUAGACUUUAUGGUUUUCGUGUUUUCCGAUGUCGAUGCCAGUCGGGUUUUUUUGGCACAUUUACGGCCGUCAUUGUCGUUUGCGUACGUGUUUUUGUUGGAUUUGUUAAACGCGGCAGGGUUUUUUUUUCCCCGCGGCCGCAUUUUCACUUUCAGUUUCGAUUUUCUUCCCCGUUCGUGAUUGGUUGUGUUUCAGAUGGUAGGAGUGUCUGUGCGCAACCAUAUAAAUACAUCCCAAACCGUCCGCACCUCGUGGGUUUAGUUAGUGGUGAGGAGGAGGGAGGUUGUGCUGUGGAGGUAGGUGAAUUUGUGGUUUGGUAGUGUUGGUAGCGAUUUCUGAGUGUGGUAUUUUGUUUGAAAGUCGUCUUGUCAUUCUUGUUGUCUUGUAUUUUGUGGUUUUGUCUCAUUUUUAGUCCAAGUUAUUUUUCUUUAUAGUCCCUUGUCAGUGUUUGUGUGUGUGUGUGUGGGUGUGAGUUGUGUAGUGGUAGUGGAGGAGUGUGUUGUUUGUCUUUUUUUUUCCUGUGUUAACUGUUUACAAACACAAUUAUGUGUGACUCAGAGGUGGAGGGUGUGAGUGAGGGGGAGGAGGUCGGUCAGGUGGAGGAGGUGAGUGUUAGUGAGGUUAGUGAGGUCGAGGAGGUGGGUGAGGUUGCUGCAGCAGCCUCAAGUGACAGUGACAGUCAGAGUGCUCCGCAGCCACGCACCACUACUAAGACUGGGCGGAAUGUUAAGUUUAGUUUUGCAGAAAAUGUGGCAUUGGUGCGUGAGCUGAUGAAGUAUCAGAGGCAGCUAUUUGGCCCUGAGUCCGCUAAGGUGCCAACACGGAGGAAGACGGUGUUGUGGGCGAAAGUUGUUGCUGCUGUCAAUAGUGAGAGGGUGGUCAAGCGGACGGAGGACACAUGCCGCAAACGGUACUAUGACAUAAAGCGACGUGUCAAGUCCAAAAUGGCCAAGGAGGCCAAGUCGGCUCGGCAAACCGGUGGUGGGCAGCCCUAUAUUGCAAGAUAUCUGGAGUAUGAGGAGCCCAUGCGGAGUGUCAUACCUCCUGAAGUUGUCCGGAAUUCAGAUAGGCCAAGGAAGAAUGGUGAGCAUGUUUUAUUUUUAUUUUUUUUUUUUUUUAUAUUAAGUUGUAUUUUGUAAUCUGUGUUAUGUGACGUUGCAUAUUACUCCCAUCUUCAAGUGUGUGUUUGCAAAUACAUUGUUUUAUGUCAUGUGUUAGCUAAAAGCCAAUGUAACAUCUUACUUUAUUGUAUGUCAUGUGUUUUUCAGACAGAUAUUUAGCAUGUGUAGUUUGGACUUGUUGUGUCUCUGAUUUGUCCUGCAAUAAUGUUUUCCUUUUAUGCUUUUUUUACGUAAAUUUUUUUGACUAUGGCCCUCAUUCCGAGUUGUUCGCUCGCAAGCUGCUUUUAGCAGCUUUGCACACGCUAAGCCGCCGCCUACUCGGAGUGAAUCUUAGCUUAGCAGAAUUGCGAACGAAAGAUUCGCAAUAUUGCGAAAAGACUUCUCUGUGCAGUUUCUGAGUAGCUCAAGACUUACUCUUCCAGUACGAUCAGUUCAGUGCUUGUCGUUCCUGGUUUGACAUCACAAACACACCCAGCGUUCGCCCAGACACUCUUCCGUUUCUCCAGCCACUCCCGCGUUUUUCCCAGAAACGGUAGCGUUUUUUCACACACUCCCAUAAAACGGCCAGUUUCCGCCCAGAAACACCCACUUCCUGUCAAUCACAUUACGAUCACCAGAACGAAGAAAAAACCUCGUAAUGCCGUGAGUAAAAUUCCUAACUGCAUAGCAAAUUUACUUGGCGCAGUCGCACUGCGGACAUUGUGCAUGCGCAUUAGCGACUAAUCGCUCCGUUGCGAGAAAAAAAUAACGAACGAACAACUCGGAAUGACCCCCUAUGUUUUAUAUAUAAGUGAACCAUGUUUUUUGGAAUUAAAAUAAGUCCUUGUCAUGUUAGAGGCUGGAGUACUGGAAAGUGGUUUGUAAACCACUUACAUGUGUAAUGUCAUCUUAACAGAAUGGUGUGUUUUUUUAAAAAAAUUCCAAUUUUUUUUCCGUUGGCUUCUAUUUGUACCGUGACACCAUACUGCAUUUUUUGUAAACUUUACUUUUGCUUGUUUUUUUGUGUGGUCAUAUAGUGGUAAUGUGUAUUUGGAGUGCCACAUCACAGAGCCAAUUAGAUAUUGCAUCUGUAUUAUUUUUAAAAACAAUACAAAAUUAUUAUUAUUAUUUUUUUUUAAAUAAAAACCCAUUCCUUUAACUUGUUGCCUAUGUCAGUGUCCUGUACAUGUUUGCCUGUCUUGAUGUUGCCAUAGUGUUUUUUUUUUAAUUUUAUUUUUUAUUUGGUAUUUCUGGUCCUUAUGUUUUUUUGAAGUAAAAAACAAGCAUUUCUAAAGGAAAAAAUGUUUAUAAGCAUAAUGGGUGGAUGUAUACACAAUAGCAUGAUUUAUGAAUAUAUCUCAUUUUAUACAGUGUCUGAAAAAAGCAGUACUACUCGUCGGCCAGUAAAUCCUAACACAUCUGAUGAUGAUGACGCUGCGGAAGCAGGUCCAUCAAAAGAAGUAUGGAGCAGCAGAAGUGGCUCUUCUGUUAGACAUCACCACAAGAAAUUUGUGGCCGAAAAGAAAGCAAGGUCGUUUGCCCCGCCACAAACACAGCAGGCUACCCCGCCACGAAGAUUAUCGUCCGUAUGUUCUGUCCCCCCACUCCAAAUUUUGGACACACCUCCAAGACGUCAUCCACACUCCCCUCAUCUUGAUUCUUCGAGUCCUGGGAACAGCAUCCCUCCGCAACAACACCAACACAGUGACAUGGAGGAGACAAACAUCUUAGAAAUGCAGCCAUUAAUGCAAGGAAUGAGCCCCCAGCACCUGUGAGUACACCACCACAGCAAAGCACACCACCCCCACCACAACACAGCCCAACAACACCAGGAACACAAGGUCCUGAUCAGGUGUUUUGGACUAUUUGGGCCAGACAGCAGGCCACUAAUGAAGAUUGCCUGCGUAAGCAGACACAAAUGUUUGCAAGCCUACCAUCUCACCUCAGAAGAAUCUCAAGAAAUCUGAGUCGCCAAAAUGAGCAAACAACCAGAAUAGGCAAUACCAUGGAACUCAUGCGUACAGACAUUACACAGGUCAUGGGCAACUUACAGCGCAUAAUGGAAGAACAGCACAGACUAAUGGAAGAACAGCACAGACUAAUGGAAGAACAGCACAGACAACAGCAAAUUUAUAUGAGCAUUUUUCAAAACAGUCAAAAGAUUAAUGAAAGUUUAUUCAGAAUAGUAGACAAUCAAAAUGCUGCGACACGUGAACUCAAUGCCACCCUCACUAACCUGAAUGAAACACUCAGAUGCAUGCACCAACAGCAAACAACCAGCAGUUCUGGUACGACUACUCCAAAUAUCACGCCAGUCUCAUCACCACCAAGACGGUCCACCAGAGCACGCCAACAUGACAGUGCUAAAGGCAAAGGGCAGGACAAGCAGCCACCAAAAAAAAAACAUAACAAAAAUAAGUUAGACAUUUGUGAUAAGUAAAGUUAGCAAGUGUUUUUGAUGCUUUACAAAAUAGCACACUUAGCUCCUUGCCCCUUUUUUUAACAUCAUUAAUUAUAAGUGCACCAAAUUAAGUGUCAAAAAAAGUACGCACAUUUAUUCCUUGUCAUUUUUUUGGGGUAUUGUAGGAGGAAAAUGUUGAUGGAGCCACACAUACAUGUUAGCAGGAAGUAAACUGACCACUUGAUUUUUUUCUAAUCAUUACUCUUUCUAGAUUCCAAUCAUUCUCUUUGCCUGCAGAUACAAUAAUUGCCAGCCAGGCAGAAUGUCUUUAGCAGGAAGUAAACUGACCACUUGAUUUUUUUCUAAUCAUUACUCUUUCUAGAUUCCAAUCAUUCUCUUUGCCUGCAGAUAAUCCAAAUUACAAUGUUAGUGAUACAUAUCUUAGCUAGCUUAUCUAUACAACAUUACAAGAUGAACACAAUUGAGUGGCAUAAAAGGCUUGUAAUAUGUUGCCUUUGUUUUGUUUAUAAAACAUUGUCCAAAUGAAUGUCAGUAUUGUUGGGACAGGUUUGUGUAUGCUAAAAAUUAUUAAGCAUGUUUUUACACAUGAUGCUGAAACAAACAAAUAUGUACUUUUACACAAUUUAAAAAAAACUUUAUAAUAAUGUAUAUGUGUGGCAAACUGUGUAUUUACUUACACAUCAUCAAGUUUACAGCAUCAAACAUUAGGAAAUAAAUUAUUCCUGAUUACAGUAAGUUUGUGAGUCUUAAAUAUGAUGGUGCGUCACACAUAGGGACACAUGUAUUCCUCAAGGCAAACAUAUUAUAUGUUGAGGAGUGUUUUUUGGGAACACAGGUUCUCAAACUCGGCCAUCAGGAACCCACACAGUGCAUGUUUUGUAGGUCUACUCACAGAAUCACAAGUAACAUAAUUAGCUCCACCUGUGAACCUUUUUACAUAUGUCUGUGAGUAAUUCAUACACCUGUGCUUCUACUGGGUUACGAGAAAAACAUGCACUGUGUGUGGUCCUGGGGGCAGAGUUUGUGAACCUGUGCAUUAGGACAUUACACACAAUGAUAAAGUGAAAUAAAAAAUGGAUGAUGUGGGCUUGUAAGAAAUUAGCACUGUAAGAUUUCGAACACUUAUCCAGACUUAAUACAUGGCACUCAUAAUCUGUUGUUUUGAUAUUAAAAUCCACACAAUACACAUGCCACAUUUGUUGAUCAUAUAGCGAGGGUAUGUUUGUAUGUGUCAAGGAGACAGACACAUUCUGAGUAAUGGUUUUUGAAAAAAAACCAAAACAUCUAUUUAUGAAGACACAACAAAUGAAAUAAGCAAACCAAGCUUACCUUAAAAAAAACUAUUGAUGAUGUGUUGCCUAACCUGCCUCCCUACAUCAGUACUCCAAGUAUCACCAGAUGUCUCUAAUUCCUCUGCUUUCUGGCUGCUUUCUUCCUCCUCCUCCUCCUCCUCAACAUGUGGCAGAUGUUGUUGCAAACACAUGUUAUGAAGAAAGCAGCAGCAGAACACAAUUUGAGUCACCUUGGAGGGACUAUACAACAAAAGGCCACCAGACUUAUCCAGACACCGAAACCUAGAUUUCAGCACACCAAAACAUCUUUCUAUCACAUUCCGCGUGGACUUAUGUGCAUGAUUGUAUUUGUGUUCAGCAGGGGUAUCAGGUCGGGACAAUGGAGUUAGAAGCCAAGAGAAACAGCCAUAUCCUCCAUCACCUAA